RNAcentral lists this ribosomal RNA (293 nucleotides) under uncultured eukaryote. RNAcentral's name for it is "partial 18S ribosomal RNA". It matches the Rfam family "Eukaryotic small subunit ribosomal RNA", at positions 6 to 292 of the family's 1831-position model. The record is from RNAcentral.
GGUUGAUCCUGCCAGUAGUCAUAUGCUUGUCUAAAAGAUUAAGCCAUGCAUGUCUAAGUAUAAACUAAUUAUACAAGUGAAACUGCGAAUGGCUCAUUAAAUCAGUUAUAAUUUAUUUGAUAGUACCCUUUUACUACUUGGAUAACCGUGGUAAUUCUAGAGCUAAUACAUGCCUUGAAAGUCCUGACCUUUAUGGAAGGGAUGCAGUUAUUAGAUACAAAACCAACCCGGGAAACCGGUCCCUUGGUGAUUCAUGAUAACUUUGCAAAUCGCAUGGCCUUGUGCCGGCGAUG